UACAUUUAAGUGUAUGAAGCACGUGAAUUUUUGAUGUUUAAGGGAGAAGUUUAAUUCUUCUAAAUGUAA
RNAcentral lists this transfer RNA (69 nucleotides) under Mirhipipteryx andensis. RNAcentral describes it as "tRNA-Gln". The record is from RNAcentral. Lineage: Eukaryota; Metazoa; Arthropoda; Insecta; Orthoptera; Ripipterygidae.